This 268-nucleotide ribosomal RNA is filed under the name uncultured bacterium. RNAcentral's name for it is "partial 16S ribosomal RNA". It matches the Rfam family "Bacterial small subunit ribosomal RNA", at positions 524 to 791 of the family's 1533-position model. The record is from RNAcentral.
UACGUAGGGUGCGAGCGUUAAUCGGAAUUACUGGGCGUAAAGCGUGCGCAGGCGGUGAUGUAAGACAGAUGUGAAAUCCCCGGGCUCAACCUGGGAACUGCGUUUGUGACUGCAAGGCUAGAGUGUAGCAGAGGGGGGUAGAAUUCCACGUGUAGCAGUGAAAUGCGUAGAGAUGUGGAGGAACACCGAUGGCGAAGGCAGCCCCCUGGGUCAAGAUUGACGCUCAUGCACGAAAGCGUGGGGAGCAAACAGGAUUAGAAACCCCGGU